RNAcentral lists this long non-coding RNA (564 nucleotides) under Homo sapiens (human). RNAcentral's name for it is "HSALNT0181051". The record is from RNAcentral. Lineage: Eukaryota; Metazoa; Chordata; Mammalia; Primates; Hominidae.
UACAGUCAGCGUUCUAGAAAGCUCUCCCUGGCAGCUGUGCGGAGGAUGGAUGGGAGUGGGGCCAGACUAGCAGAGGAAGCCCCGUCAGGAGGUUAUUGCGGUAAUUCAGCCAUUGGCAGAUCUCCACCACAAUGAAAAUGAUUUAGGGCCCCCAUACAUUCUCAGUCUGGUUACGUUUCAGAAACUGUGAUAAAAGGUAUGUGAUAAAUAAAAGGUUCUUGUUAGAAGCCAAGAAAUUUCAAUUCUAGCCCUGACACCACUGUUUCACAGGUCAGUAUGUCUUCACGAUAUGAGGAGGGUGAGAACAAUUUCCUGCCGCCACGUGCCUGUCUCCUCUGGACUUCCCAAGAGAGGAGUGGGGGCAGGAGGCAUGGGGGACUCUGGAGCAGGUGUCACCAGGAGGGAGGGAGGAACCAGGGAGCUUGAAGAAAAUGUAUGGUUAUUUUUCUAGCUAAAACCACGUUGUUGGAAGGCAGAGGUGGGAGGAUCACCUGAGGUCAGGAGGUCAAGACCAGCCUGGCCAACACGGUGAAACCCCGUCUCUACAAAAAUAUUAGCCGGGUG